GACAGAGGGUGCAAGCGUUGUUCGGAAUGAUUGGGCGUAAAGGAUGCGUAGGCGGUUUACUAAGUUAGAAGUUAAAUGUUCAAGCUCAACUUGAAACUGCUUCUAAUACUGAUAGACUAGAGUAAGACACAGGAAAACGGAAUUUCUAAUCGAGCGGUAGAAUGUGAGGACAUUAGAAGGAACUCCAAAGGCGAAGGCAGUUUUCUGGUGCUUUUCUGACGCUGAGGCAUGAAAACGUGGGUAGCAAACAGG
Molecule: unclassified non-coding RNA, 252 nt
Filed under: uncultured Rickettsiales bacterium
Lineage: Bacteria; Pseudomonadati; Pseudomonadota; Alphaproteobacteria; Rickettsiales
Description: contains 16S-23S intergenic spacer region
Rfam family: Bacterial small subunit ribosomal RNA
Source: RNAcentral